Long non-coding RNA from Armigeres subalbatus, 317 nucleotides. RefSeq lists it as uncharacterized. The transcript is spliced from 3 exons. NCBI's taxonomy places the organism in Eukaryota, Metazoa, Arthropoda, Insecta, Diptera, Culicidae. The record is from RefSeq and is a predicted model, not a curated record.
ACAGAUUUUUGCAAGUCAAAUCAUUUUCAUCAGAGCACCGAGGAAGUUACUUUUCCAUCUUAGAGUUUCGGAUACAAUUUUGCAUUUAUUGAAAUACAUUCAAGAGUGAAAUGAUGGAUUUGGACUCACCCCGCAAGUGCUUGAAAAGAAAGAGCCUUUUUUUAAAGAACGCUCUAAACAGAUUGGCCAAAUACUCACCCCGCGGCACUCCUAGGAACGAUCAUACGGCGGUUCUGCUUUCCGGAAAUGGAGUACUGCCAACGGGCAAAAUAUCGAUUCUUCCCUUCGCAACACAUCAGAAGACAAAUGUGUUCCUG